CACGAGCAUCCUCGGGGAAAGCGUGUCCAACCCCAUCCUCCUCCCCCGCAGGAAAAGGAGGGGACGGGACCAGGAGGUGAGGAGUCCGCGAUCUGGGCUGAUGUGCUGAUCGAGGGAGACCGGUGCUCCUUUCCCCACUGGGAGUCUCCUCGGUGGGACCAGAGUGGAGUGUUCAGGUGUCCGGAGACAUGCAGAUGCCUUCGGGACAGAAGAGGAAGCAAGAACUGCCGGUUACCCCCAGUUGUACGGAGAAGUUGGCGGCGGGCCCGCGGGUGGGCGGAGGGCAGACUCCAGUUGACCAAUAUUUUGGCAUAAGAUUCUCCAGGGCUCCUUUCCCCCACAGAAUCCUUGAACAACCAGCAACAACUUGAAGAGCCAUCUUCCUCAGAACUUGGGAAAUAGUUAAAAGGUUGCUACAACUAGAUAUUUCCAUCAGUGGGAAUUCCUUUGUAAAAAGAUGAUACUCUGUCUUCCCACGAUACUGGAUUCUGUCAUUGAUAAUCAGUUUUUUAUCACAUCUUGAAGGAAAUUUGGUGAUUUAGUUUUUCUUAGAAAAGUCUGUUGUCCAUUUAAUUUGUUUGAUCAGUAUUUGAAAGUAUAAACAUGGAUGCAUACAUAUGUUUUAUUAUAAUUUUUGUUCUGUGAUUGUACAGUUCAUGCUCUUUUCAUUCUCAAUUUCAUGUAUUUCCAAUUUUUCUUUUAUUUACCUUAUUGCAGCAACCAAAAUUUUUAUUUUUCUGAUAUCCUCCGUUUAUUUCUAAUUCUUUAGGAAUAAAAAGAUUCAUGAUGAUGAAGUGUAGCAUUUGGAGUUCCACUGCAGAAAAUGCAAAACCAUUCUGUCUAAAACAGAAAUUUUCUGUCUAAUCAGAAAGAGAUUAGAUGGAAUUGCAUGAUUAAGAGUUUUGGAAAGACUACGAGAGUCAAGCUUGAUUUUGAGUCCUCAGGAAUGAUUCCAAAAG
Molecule: long non-coding RNA, 959 nt
Organism: Choloepus didactylus (southern two-toed sloth)
Lineage: Eukaryota; Metazoa; Chordata; Mammalia; Pilosa; Megalonychidae
Exons: 3
Source: RefSeq, a predicted model, not a curated record